GAUGAACGCUGGCGGCGUGCUUAACACAUGCAAGUCGAACGGAAAGGCCCUGCUCUUGCGGGGUGCUCGAGUGGCGAACGGGGGAGUAACACGCGAGUAACCUGCCCUUAACUUUGGGAGAACUUCAGGAAACAGGGGCUAAUACCGGAUAGGAGCUACUGCUACACGGUGGGGGUUGGAAAGUUUCGGCGGUUGGGGCUGGACUGGCUGCUUAUCAGCUGGAUGGUGAGGUAGUUGCUGACCAAGGCUUUGACGGGUAGCCGGCAUUGGAGGGUGGCCGGCGUCCUUGGGACUACGGGACGGACCAGUAGCGUAUCGGCGGCAGCAGUCGGGAGUCUUACAGAAUGGGGCGGAGCCUGAGGCAACAGCGCCCCGUUCGGGAUGACGGGCUUCGGGUUGUAAACCAAUUUCGCAUGUGCCAAAGCGUGCGUGACGGUAAUGGGUAAAGAAGCACCGGCUAACUACGUG
This 468-nucleotide ribosomal RNA is filed under the name uncultured bacterium. Its description in RNAcentral is "partial 16S ribosomal RNA". It matches the Rfam family "Bacterial small subunit ribosomal RNA", at positions 28 to 507 of the family's 1533-position model. The record is from RNAcentral.